Molecule: ribosomal RNA, 301 nt
Filed under: uncultured bacterium
Lineage: Bacteria
Description: partial 16S ribosomal RNA
Rfam family: Bacterial small subunit ribosomal RNA
Source: RNAcentral
CAGUAGCCGCGGUAAUACGUAGGGUGCAAGCGUUAAUCGGAAUUACUGGGCGUAAAGCGUGCGCAGGCGGUUACUCAAGUCAGAGGUGAAAGCCCGGGGCUCAACCCCGGAACUGCCUUUGAAACUAGGUGACUAGAAUCUUGGAGAGGUCAGUGGAAUUCCGAGUGUAGAGGUGAAAUUCGUAGAUAUUCGGAAGAACACCAGUGGCGAAGGCGACUGACUGGACAAGUAUUGACGCUGAGGUGCGAAAGCGUGGGGAGCAAACAGGAUUAGAUACCCGCGUAGUCCCUGUCUCUUAUAC